Molecule: ribosomal RNA, 403 nt
Filed under: uncultured bacterium
Lineage: Bacteria
Description: partial 16S ribosomal RNA
Rfam family: Bacterial small subunit ribosomal RNA
Source: RNAcentral
CCUACGGGUGGCAGCAGUAGGGAAUCUUCCACAAUGAGCGAAAGCCUGAUGGAGCAACACCGCGUGAGUGAAGAAGGGUUUCGGAUUGUAAAGCGCUGUUAUUGGGGAAGAACAUGCGCGAGAGGAAUUGAUCACGCAGUGACGGCAUCCAACCAGAAAGUGAUGGCUAACUACGUGCCAGCAGCCGCGGUAAUACGUAGGUGGCAAGCGUUAUCCGGAUUUAUGGGGCGUAAAGCGUGCGCAGGCGGUGCAUAAGGUCUGUGGUAAAAGCCGGGGGCUAACCCACGGCGCGGCACGGAAACUGGCCGACGAGAGUGGGGGAGAGGUAAGCGGAAUUCCAUGUGUAGCGGUGAAAUGCGUAGAUAUAUGGAAGAACACCAGUGGCGAAGGCAGCGGACUGGUG